UCCCGGUUAGCUCAGUUGGUAGAGCAGUGGACUGUUAAUCCGCCUGUCGCUGGUUCGAGUCCAGCACCGGGAGCCA
RNAcentral lists this transfer RNA (76 nucleotides) under Skermanella mucosa. RNAcentral describes it as "tRNA-Asn". It matches the Rfam family "tRNA". Rfam says of the family: Transfer RNA (tRNA) molecules are approximately 80 nucleotides in length. Their secondary structure includes four short double-helical elements and three loops (D, anti-codon, and T loops). Lineage: Bacteria; Pseudomonadati; Pseudomonadota; Alphaproteobacteria; Rhodospirillales; Azospirillaceae. RNAcentral also lists the same sequence under 2 other names. The record is from RNAcentral.